GGGGGUAUGUAACCGAUGGGCUCGGGAGAGCGCUUGAAUGGCAUUCAAGAGGUCAGCGGUUCGAUCCCGCUUAUCUCCACCA
RNAcentral lists this transfer RNA (82 nucleotides) under Clostridia bacterium. Its description in RNAcentral is "tRNA-Ala". It matches the Rfam family "tRNA". Rfam says of the family: Transfer RNA (tRNA) molecules are approximately 80 nucleotides in length. Lineage: Bacteria; Bacillati; Bacillota; Clostridia. The record is from RNAcentral. RNAcentral also lists the same sequence under 1 other name.